This 560-nucleotide ribosomal RNA is filed under the name uncultured bacterium. RNAcentral's name for it is "bacterial SSU rRNA". The stretch from base 1 to 488 matches the Rfam family "Bacterial small subunit ribosomal RNA", at positions 56 to 546 of the family's 1533-position model. The record is from RNAcentral.
UGCAAGUCGAACGAGAAACUGGUUUUUAAUCAGUGGACAGUGGCGAACGGGUGAGUAACACGUGAGAAACCUGCCCCGGAGACUGGGACAACCGUUGGAAACGACGGCUAAUACCAGAUACCCCCGAUUGGUCGCAUGGCCGAUCGAGGAAAUGCUCUGGCGCUUCGGGAGGGUCUCGCGGCCUAUCAGCUAGUUGGCGGGGUAACGGCCCACCAAGGCAACGACGGGUAGCUGGUCUGAGAGGACGAUCAGCCACACUGGGACUGAGACACGGCCCAGACUCCUACGGGAGGCAGCAGUGGGGAAUAUUGCGCAAUGGGCGAAAGCCUGACGCAGCAACGCCGCGUGAGGGAAGACGGCCUCUCGGGUUGUAAACCUCUUUCAGUGAUGGACGAAAAAUGACGGUAAUUCACAAGAAAGAAGCCUCCGGCCAAACUUACGUUGCCAAGCAGCCGGCGGUAAUAACGUUAGGGAGGCAAGCGGUUGUCCGGGGAUCUCAUGGGGCGUGAAAAGAACCUCCGUAGAGCGCGGUUGUGUGAAGUCCAGAUAGUGGAAAACUC